RNAcentral lists this ribosomal RNA (349 nucleotides) under uncultured bacterium. Its description in RNAcentral is "bacterial SSU rRNA". It matches the Rfam family "Bacterial small subunit ribosomal RNA", at positions 9 to 353 of the family's 1533-position model. The record is from RNAcentral.
GAGUUUGAUUCAUGGCUCAGAUUGAACGCUGGCGGCAUGCUUUACACAUGCAAGUCGAACGGCAGCACAGGGAGCUUGCUCCCGGGUGGCGAGUGGCGCACGGGUGAGUAAUACAUCGGAACGUGUCCUGUUGUGGGGGAUAACUGCUCGAAAGGGUGGACUAAUACCGCAUGAGACCUGAGGGUGAAAGCGGGGGAUCGCAAGACCUCGCGCAGUUGGAGCGGCCGAUGCCCGAUUAGCUAGUUGGUGAGGUAAAGGCUCACCAAGGCGACGAUCGGUAGCUGGUCUGAGAGGACGACCAGCCACCACUGGGACUGAGACACGGCCCAGACUCCUACGGGAGGCAGCA